RNAcentral lists this ribosomal RNA (414 nucleotides) under uncultured Methanosaeta sp. Its description in RNAcentral is "bacterial SSU rRNA". It matches the Rfam family "Archaeal small subunit ribosomal RNA", at positions 925 to 1338 of the family's 1478-position model. The record is from RNAcentral. Lineage: Archaea; Methanobacteriati; Methanobacteriota; Methanomicrobia; Methanotrichales; Methanotrichaceae.
UCUUACCGGGACCGACAGCAAUAUGAAGGCCAGGCUGAAGACUUUGCCGGAUUAGCUGAGAGGUGGUGCAUGGCCGUCGUCAGUUCGUACUGUGAAGCAUCCUGUUAAGUCAGGCAACGAGCGAGACCCACGCCCACAGUUGCCAGCGUACUCUCUGGAGUGACGGGUACACUGUGGGGACCGCCGCUGCUAAAGCGGAGGAAGGAAUGGGCAACGGUAGGUCAGUAUGCCCCGAAUAUCCCGGGCUACACGCGAGCUACAAUGGUUGGUACAGUGGGUAUCUACCCCGAAAGGGGACGGGAAUCUCCUAAAACCAAUCUUAGUUCGGAUUGAGGGCUGCAACUCGCCCUCAUGAAGCUGGAAUCCGUAGUAAUCGCGUUUCAACAGAACGCGGUGAAUACGUCCCUGCUCCUU